CCCCUCGACGACGAGGACAUGAUGUCCUACAUCCUUGCUGGGCUCGACGACGAUUACAAGCCUGUCGUCUCCUCUAUUUUUGGCAUAGUGGAGGCGGUCCCAGUUGUGAAGAUCUACACUCAACUCCUGAGUUUUGAGA
RNAcentral lists this small nucleolar RNA (139 nucleotides) under Oryza punctata. RNAcentral's name for it is "Small nucleolar RNA Z247". It matches the Rfam family "Small nucleolar RNA Z247". From Rfam's summary of the family: Z247 is a member of the C/D class of snoRNA which contain the C (UGAUGA) and D (CUGA) box motifs. Most of the members of the box C/D family function in directing site-specific 2'-O-methylation of substrate RNAs. Lineage: Eukaryota; Viridiplantae; Streptophyta; Magnoliopsida; Poales; Poaceae. The record is from Rfam by way of RNAcentral.